AUUGAACGCUGGCGGCAUGCCUUACACAUGCAAGUCGAACGGCAGCACGGGAGCAAUCCUGGUGGCGAGUGGCGAACGGGUGAGUAAUAUAUCGGAACGUGCCCAGUCGUGGGGAUAACGUAGCGAAAGCUACGCUAAUACCGCAUACGAUCUAUGGAUGAAAGCGGGGGAUCGCAAGACCUCGCGCGAUUGGAGCGGCCGAUAUCAGAUUAGGUAGUUGGUGAGGUAAAGGCUCACCAAGCCGACGAUCUGUAGCUGGUCUGGGAGGACGACAGCCACACUGGGACUGAGACACGGCCCAGACUCCUACGGGAGGCAGCAGUGGGGAAUUUUGGACAAUGGGCGCAAGCCUGAUCCAGCAAUGCCGCGUGCAGGAUG
This 378-nucleotide ribosomal RNA is filed under the name uncultured bacterium. Its description in RNAcentral is "bacterial SSU rRNA". It matches the Rfam family "Bacterial small subunit ribosomal RNA", at positions 30 to 410 of the family's 1533-position model. The record is from RNAcentral.